GCAGAAUAUUAAGAAGGGGGUUGUGUGGAAGGAGAUUUGGGAGAAGGGAGACUUCCGAGGAAGAUUAGGCAGAGUGGGCAGGGAGACCAGCUCUCGUGGGGGUGGGAGGCUCCCUUCCUUUUUUGCUCCUGUUCCUCCUUCCCUCUAGCUGGCAGGCCUCUUCUCCUGCAUAGUGGUCCUGUCGGUGCUGCUGUGGCUGGGGCCCUUCUUUUACUAUCUGCCCAAGGUAAGGAGCAGAGGAGGCAUGAGCAUGGCUGGGAGGGGUGGCUGUAUUCCAGGACAUCAAGGUAGUCAGCCCACCUCCUCUGCCUCAAGGCUGUCCUGGCUUGCAUCAACAUCUCCAGCAUGCGCCAGAUGUUCUGCCAGAUGUAGGAACUUCCACAACUAUGGCACAUCAGCCGAGUGGACUUUGUGAGAAAUGCCAUUACCCGCAGAUUGCCGCCUCUCAUCUUGUUAGCAUCCCCAGCCUCUGCCCUGAACCAAACCUAAUCGUCCUGGUCUUAAGCUCUGCAACCCACCCACUCCCCUAACAAACAUAACUCCUAAUACGCUUUACUCACAGGCAAGGGAAAGGAUGGGGUUUGAACCCCUUUGACCUGAAUAUGUGUAACUUCCCAACUGGUGCAGGUCAUUACAUGUGGUGUGUGUCCCAUUGAAUCAACCCUGUUCUUUCCCUCUGUCAUGCUUUCUACUUCUUCCUGGGUCAUCUCUCCCCAUCACUUGCCUUGGUAGUCACUGCCCUGGAUCUCUUUCCCCAGCAGUGAUGGCCUGGGUUUUCUUUUGGGCAAUCCACCCCUAUCCCUGUCCUGCAGGCUGUGUGGAUGGUCACCUGGGUGGCUGUAGUGACCCUGAGUGUGGAUUUGGGCCUGGCUGUGGGUGUGGUCUUCUCCAUGAUGACUGUGGUCUGCCGCACCCGGAGGUGGGCAUAGAGAUGAGUGGAGUUGAGGUCGGGGCAGGGGAAGAGAAUGAGGUGCUUGGGGUGACUCUCCAGCCAGGCCAGGCUAAGCUGGAAAUCUGGCCCCACCUUCUUCCCUAGGGUGCAGUGCCUGGCACUUGGACAGGCUGAGGGGACAGAGCUCUACAGACCACUCAAAGGAAGCCACAAGGUGGGUGGGCUUCCCUUCUCAAAGGAAGGGAAGAUUAGCCCCAGACGUUUCUCUGAUCCUUUGACCUCUUAGCUCCUCCAGGUCCCGGGGCUCUGCAUCCUGAGCUAUCCAACACCACUGUACUUUGGGACCCGUGGGCAGUUUCGCCGCAACCUAGAGUGGCACCUGGGGCUCGGAGAAGGAGAAAAGGAGACUUUAAAGCCAGAUGGCCCAACGGUUGCAGGUGAGAUGGGGUGACAAGAAGGAAGAUUUGGGUAUGUUGCAUGGUGGCACCUGGGUACUCCUGUCUUCUCCCACUCUAGUUGCUGAGCCUGACAGGGUGGUCCUAGACUUCAGUGGUGUCACCUUUGCAGAUGCUGCUGGGGCCAGAGAAGUGGUGCAGCUGGCCAGCCGAUGUCGAGAUGCUAGGAUCGGCCUCCUCCUGGCUCAGGGUAAUGCCUCGGUGCUGGGGACACUGACCCGGGCAGGACUCCUGGACAGGGUGACCCCAGAUCAGCUGUUUGUGAGUGUGCAGGAUGCAGCUGCUUAUGCCCUGGGGAGCCUGGUAAGGGGCAGUAGCACCAGGAGCGGGAGCCGGGAGGCACUGGGCUGCGGCAAGUGAGGCAGAGGAGCUCACUGACCCAAAGAUUUGCACAGUGUGGGUCUGACCUCAUCAUGUGGAGUGCAGAGGGCCCCAAUGACAUGUGUGUGAUGAGGACCAUGACCCUUGAACCCCCUUACCUAACGUGACUAAUAAAAUGAAGCUGAGAGCUUUGGAAUCCA
RNAcentral lists this small RNA (1868 nucleotides) under Pongo abelii (Sumatran orangutan). Its description in RNAcentral is "retained intron". Lineage: Eukaryota; Metazoa; Chordata; Mammalia; Primates; Hominidae. The record is from RNAcentral.